CAGCACCUCAAGUGGUCAGGAUGAUUAUUGGGCCUAAAGCAUCCGUAGCCGGCGCUGUAAGUUUUCGGUUAAAUCUGUACGCUCAACGUACAGGCUGCCGGGAAUACUGCAAAGCUAGGGAGUGGGAGAGGUAGACGGUACUCGGUAGGAAGGGGUAAAAUCCUUUGAUCUAUUGAUGACCACCUGUGGCGAAGGCGGUCUACCAGAACACGUCCGACGGUGAGGGAUGAAAGCUGGGGGAGCAAACCGGAUUAGAUACCCGAGUAGUCC
Molecule: ribosomal RNA, 270 nt
Filed under: uncultured archaeon
Lineage: Archaea
Description: partial 16S ribosomal RNA
Rfam family: Archaeal small subunit ribosomal RNA
Source: RNAcentral